GAUACUCUGUCAAGGGUUAACUUGAAAUAUUGACUUAGCAAGAGUGUACUAAUAAGCAGUCUUUCUGAAAUAAUGUAUUAGGUUCUUCCAACUCGUUAUAUCAGCUAGGCAGGUUUAGAAGUAUUUUAGGCUCGGCUUAACAACAAUAAACUAAAAGUUUGACCUCAAAUCAGGUAGGACUACCCGCUGAACUUAAGCAUAUCAAUAAGCGGAGGAAAAGAAACCAACAGGGAUUGCCUCAGUAACGGCGAGUGAAGCGGCAAAAGCUCAAAUUUGAAAUCUAGCACCUUCGGUGUUUGAGUUGUAAUUUGAAGAUGGUAACCUUGGGUUUGGCUCUUGUCUAUGUUCCUUGGAACAGGACGUCAUAGAGGGUGAGAAUCCCGUCUGAUGAGAUGCCCAUUCCUAUGUAAGGUGCUAUCGAAGAGUCGAGUUGUUUGGGAAUGCAGCUCUAAGUGGGUGGUAAAUUCCAUCUAAAGCUAAAUAUUGGCGAGAGACCGAUAGCGAACAAGUACAGUGAUGGAAAGAUGAAAAGAACUUUGAAAAGAGAGUGAAAAAGUACGUGAAAUUGUUGAAAGGGAAGGGCAUUAGAUCAGACUUGGUGUUUUACGAUUAUCUUCUCUUCUUGAGUUGUGCACUCGUAUUUCACUGGGCCAGCAUCGAUUCGGAUGGCAAGAUAAUGGCAGUUGAAUGUGGCUUCACUUCGGUGGAGUGUUAUAGCUUCUGCUGAUAUUGCCUGUCUGGAUCGAGGG
This 749-nucleotide ribosomal RNA is filed under the name Hansenula anomala. RNAcentral describes it as "eukaryotic LSU rRNA". The stretch from base 160 to 749 matches the Rfam family "Eukaryotic large subunit ribosomal RNA", at positions 1 to 594 of the family's 3401-position model. The record is from RNAcentral. Lineage: Eukaryota; Fungi; Ascomycota; Saccharomycetes; Phaffomycetales; Wickerhamomycetaceae.